This is an RNA transcript of Papaver somniferum (opium poppy), 1307 nucleotides long. RefSeq lists it as uncharacterized. NCBI's taxonomy places the organism in Eukaryota, Viridiplantae, Streptophyta, Magnoliopsida, Ranunculales, Papaveraceae. The transcript is spliced from 7 exons. The record is from RefSeq and is a predicted model, not a curated record.
CACAUUAUCCUCUUUCUCUCCAUUAUUAGCCCUAAUCGUGGAUGAAAUUAGGGCAGGUAUCUGCGCCUCUCUUCUACUACAGAUCAGAGGAGAUCUCUUCCCUUAAUUAUCCUAUUUCGUUACCAUAUUAUCCCGCGAUCUUCUCUUCUCAUUGGCGAAUUGGGCAAAAAAGAAACUAGAAAACAUUCUUUUCGAGCAUCGGCGAAUUGAAGACGCUUUAAUUCCUCAUACGUUACAAAUAUUCCCCUACAUAAACACUUACAUAGGUCAUCAUCUUACCGUGUUUCAGACGCAUGCUCUAGGUUUCAACUGUUCUUUUGGGAAAAGAGGAGCCAUCCAUCUUAGUCCAUACUCUUUCACUGAUUUCAAAUGGGUUCCCAGAUUGUGAACAACCCUUCCACAUGCCAGGAAAAAAACCUACAAAACCUUCUCCCAUGUUGGUGAGGCCGAAGAAGGCACAAAUUGGAUGACCCGUGUUCGAAUAUCAAGAAAGUGAAAGGCACAAAAUGGAUGACCCGUCUUGUCGGUGCAGGGUUCUUGCUGCCGCGCAACGGCCACAACAUCUAUAAAAUUAGUCUAAGUUUAGUUGCCUACUCCCUGAAGAUUCACAUACUCCUUCAACUAUAUUAGUUGGAUGUACUUAUUUGGACGCCAAGUAUCCUAUCUCCAGGUAUUUCAGACCUUCAAUCCGUGUGCCCAUCAGGUGGAUCCUACUUCCAACCAAUUUUGUGGAAUCUGCAUUUCUUCACAGUGCAAAUACACAGACUUGCAACACAAAGAUUUUGGAUUUUGGAUUGGAAAAAGGUGUUGCCAUUUUCUCUACAGCUGGUACUGGCUUUGAAUUUUUUUUUGAAGAUCGGACAGAAAAUAUGACACCUGAGUGUCCUUCCAUAACCCCAAUACCAUAUUUGAUUAUGCUGGCAAGCCAUGAUAUUAAAGUUCACAAGUCACCACAAACACUAGCAUGCAAAUAAUCUAAAACUACUGUGUUUCUUUGGUUAUACAACAUUGAGUUACCACGAUGAAUAGAAUUAAGUGACGCGAAGAUACAACAAUCAGAGAUAUCUAAAUGUGAAAACUACAGGGAGACCCAUUCUUACACAUUUUCCUACUAUGAAACCCACCUUCACAAAAUCUCACGGGCACACCCAAAAGCAGCCAACAAAUUAUUUGGAGGACCAGAGUUUUCAAAAUUCGUUUAUUUUCUUUUUUAUUUCCCAGUUUAGCCUCACUUUCAGUUUCAGUAUAUCCUGUUUAUUUUCGAGAGAUUGAUUAUCGAGAGAUUGAUUCAAUUUACUCAGCGAGCU